Molecule: ribosomal RNA, 440 nt
Filed under: uncultured bacterium
Lineage: Bacteria
Description: partial 16S ribosomal RNA
Rfam family: Bacterial small subunit ribosomal RNA
Source: RNAcentral
CUACGGGGGGCAGCAGUGGGGAAUCUUGCGCAAUGGGCGAAAGCCUGACGCAGCAACGCCGCGUGCGGGAAGAAUGCCCUUUGGGCUGUAAACCGCUUUCAGCAGGAACGAAAAUGACGGUACCUGCAGAAGAAGAAGCGGCCAACUAUGUGCCAGCAGCCGCGGUGAUACAUAGGCUUCGAGCGUUGUCCGGAUUUAUUGGGCGUAAAGAGUUCGUAGGCGGUUAAGUAAGUCGGGUGUGAAAAUUCUGGGCUCAACCCAGAAACGCCACCCGAUACUGCUUGACUUGAGUUCGACAGGGGAGUGGGGAAUUCCUAGUGUAGCGGUGAAAUGCGCAGAUAUUAGGAGGAACACCGGUGGCGAAGGCGCCACUCUGGGUCGACACUGACGCUGAGGAACGAAAGCAUGGGUAGCAAACAGGAUUAGAUACCCUCGUAGUC